CAAAGCACUUUGAAGAGAGAGUUAAAGAGGACGUGAAACCGGUGAGGUGGAAACGGAUAGAGUCGGCGUAUCUUUCAAGUAUUCAUUUACAUUAUUAUUGUGUUGUGAUCUCUGAGCUCCAGAUUGGGACAGAAAGAAGCAGCAUAAUUUUCUGUGAUGCAUUUACUUGUUUGGUGCUUGGGGAUGUUUGAGGCAGAUUUGUAACCGCCGUUUUGAGGCCAGCUUGCUGGUACCCAAACGGUGUUAGCAUCUUUUGUCUUGGCCAUUUGAGUAUGGCUUACAGGCAUUUAUUGGUUCGAUCUGAGUGUAAGUUACGGUCGCAUGCGACACGUGCUUUUCAAUUAGUUCGGUCCAGUUAAUGCUCUCGUACUCCUUCCCCAUGUAAAAGCCGGUCAUCUAUCCGACCCGUCUUGAAACACGGACCAAGGAGUUUAUCGUGUGCGCAAGUUUUUUGGUGUUAAAAACCGAAAAGCGAAAUGAAAGUAAAUGGCUCUUUAGAGUCUGAUGUGCGAUCUUGUAAAAAAGUGCAGCAUGGCCCCAUUCUAACUGUUUACAGUAGGGUGGCGGAAGAGCGUACGCGGUGAGACCCGAAAGAUGGUGAACUAUUCCUGAGCAGGACGAAGCCAGAGGAAACUCUGGUGGAAGUCCGAAGCGGUUCUGACGUGCAAAUCGAUCGUCUGACUUGGGUAUAGGGGCGAAAGACUAAUCGAACCAUC
RNAcentral lists this ribosomal RNA (716 nucleotides) under Meloidogyne sp. Mi_c1b. RNAcentral's name for it is "LSU rRNA". It matches the Rfam family "Eukaryotic large subunit ribosomal RNA", at positions 367 to 944 of the family's 3401-position model. The record is from RNAcentral. Lineage: Eukaryota; Metazoa; Nematoda; Chromadorea; Rhabditida; Meloidogynidae.